UUGAAAAGAACUUUGAAGAGAGAGUUCAAGAGUACGUGAAACCGUUCAGGGGUAAACCUAAGAAACCCAAAAGAUCGAACGGGGAGAUUCAUCGUCAGCGACGCAGGCUUCGCGUCGGUGGGCGAUGUCCCGCGGGGCCUCGCGGCUCGCGCGCGGACACGCUGCCGUGCGUCGAUGUCCGGCGUUUCGUCGUCGUGCACUUCUCCCCUAGUAGAACGUCGCGACCCGCUGGGUGUCGGUCUACGGCCCGAGUGUGGUGACUGACGCGUCGCCGAUAAAACGGCACGCGUCAAACCCUCGGUCGCCCGGCCGGCUGCCCGGCGGUACGCGCAAGGUAUCAGGCCGCACACACGCGCUCGUUCGUCUGUCCUCUCACGGGGACCAGGCGGACGUACGCAGCGGAGUGCGUCGAGGCCGUCGCAAGCGCGCGCCAUGGUACACGGAGGCUAACGGACCUAGCGCCGUCACCGGACCUGGCCCGCUGUUGGUCGCACGGUUAACCUUCGACAGGCCUAACAAACGUCCCACGGGAGGGAAACCUCCUCGGCGGGGCGCACGAUACCGGUCGGCGACGCUACUGCUUUGGGUACUCUUAGGACCCGUCUUGAAACACGGACCAAGGAGUCUAACAUGUACGCGAGUCAUUGGGACUUGACGAUACCUAAAGGCGUAAUGAAAGUGAAGGUCGUCCCUGGUUGUCGACCGAGGGAGGAUGGGCCGCGUCGCGACGCGGCUCCGCACUCCCGGGGCGUCUCGUUCUCAUCGCGAGAAGAGGCGCACCCAGAGCGUACACGUUGGGACCCGAAAGAUGGUGAACUAUGCCUGGUCAGGACGAAGUCAGGGGAAACCCUGAUGGAGGUCCGUAGCGAUUCUGACGUGCAAAUCGAUCGUCGGAACUGGGUAUAGGGGCGAAAGACUAAUCGAACCAUCUAGUAGCUGGUUCCCUCCGAAGUUUCCCUCAGGAUAGCUGGCACUCGGCCGUUCCGCACGGAACGCGCGCGAGUCUCAUCUGGUAAAGCGAAUGAUUAGAGGCCUUGGGGCCGAAACGACCUCAACCUAUUCUCAAACUUUAAAUGGGUGAGAUCUCUGGCUUUCUUGAACUAUGAAGCCACGAGCAUCUCGGAUCAGAGUGCCAAGUGGGCCAUUUUUGGUAAGCAGAACUGGCGCUGUGGGAUGAACCAAACGCAGAGUUAAGGCGCCCAACUCGACGCUCAUGGGACACCAUGAAAGGCGUUGGUUGCUUAAGACAGCAGGACGGUGGCCAUGGAAGUCGGAAUCCGCUAAGGAGUGUGUAACAACUCACCUGCCGAAGCAACUAGCCCUGAAAAUGGAUGGCGCUGAAGCGUCGAGCCUAUACUCUGCCGUCAGCGGCAAGUGGGGCGGCGCGUUAACGCGCGCCGUCACGAAGCCCUGACGAGUAGGAGGGUCGCGGCGGUGUGCGCAGAAGGGUCU
Molecule: ribosomal RNA, 1452 nt
Filed under: Myrmecina graminicola
Lineage: Eukaryota; Metazoa; Arthropoda; Insecta; Hymenoptera; Formicidae
Description: partial 28S ribosomal RNA
Rfam family: Eukaryotic large subunit ribosomal RNA
Source: RNAcentral